Molecule: non-coding RNA, 477 nt
Organism: Sorex fumeus (smoky shrew)
Lineage: Eukaryota; Metazoa; Chordata; Mammalia; Eulipotyphla; Soricidae
Source: the annotation of a RefSeq genome assembly
AUGGCAUGUGGGCUGAGCUGGCUUCUCCUAGUGGCUGUGUUAGGAGGGGUCCAGUGUGAAGUGCAGCUGCUGGAGUCUGGGGGAGACUUGGUGCAGCCUGGGGGGUCCCUGACACUCUCCUGUGCAGUCUCUGGAUUCACCUUUGGCAACUAUGGGAUGAGCUGGGUCCGUCAGGCUCCAGGGAAGGGCCUAGAGUGGGUCUCAAGCAUAAGUAGUAAAAGUAGUUAUAUAUACUAUGCCGACUCUGUGAAGGGCCGAUUCACCAUCUCCAGAGACAACAGCAAGAACACGCUUUCUCUGCAAAUGAACAACUUGAGGGAGGAGGACACGGCCCUGUACUACUGUGCAAGACACAGUGAUGGAAAGGCCCUUUGGGCCCAGACACAAACCACCUGCAGAAGGAAGCAGGCUGAGCUUCAGGGGUGCAGGCCCUCAGGAGACUCUGAGGGCUCUCCCCUGAGGAAACGUUGUUCAUGA